RNAcentral lists this ribosomal RNA (813 nucleotides) under uncultured Acidobacteriota bacterium. RNAcentral describes it as "bacterial SSU rRNA". It matches the Rfam family "Bacterial small subunit ribosomal RNA", at positions 72 to 866 of the family's 1533-position model. Lineage: Bacteria; Pseudomonadati; Acidobacteriota. The record is from RNAcentral.
UUACCUCGCAAGGGGUAACUGAGUGGCGAACGGGUGAGUAACACGUGGGUGACCUACCUUCGAGUGGGGGAUAACGUCCCGAAAGGGACGCUAAUACCGCAUAACAUCCUGCCUUUGAACAGGUGGAGAUCAAAGCCGGGGAUCGCAAGACCUGGCGCUUGAUGAGGGGCCCGCGCCUGAUUAGCUAGUUGGUGGGGUAAUGGCUCACCAAGGCGACGAUCAGUAUCCGGCCUGAGAGGGCGGACGGACACACUGGGACUGAGACACGGCCCAGACUCCUACGGGAGGCAGCAGUGGGGAAUUGUUCGCAAUGGGCGCAAGCCUGACGACGCAACGCCGCGUGGAGGAUGAAGGUCUUCGGAUUGUAAACUCCUGUUGCUCGGGACGAAAAGCUUCGACCUAACACGUCGAAGUCUGACGGUACCGAGUGAGGAAGCCCCGGCUAACUCUGUGCCAGCAGCCGCGGUAAUACAGGGGGGGCAAGCGUUGUUCGGAAUUACUGGGCGUAAAGGGCGCGUAGGCGGCCUGCUAAGUCGAACGUGAAAUCCCUGGGCUCAACCCAGGAACUGCGUCCGAUACUGGUUGGCUUGAAUCCGGGAGAGGGAUGUGGAAUUCCAGGUGUAGCGGUGAAAUGCGUAGAUAUCUGGAGGAACACCGGUGGCGAAGGCGACAUCCUGGACCGGUAUUGACGCUGAGGCGCGAAAGCCAGGGGAGCAAACGGGAUUAGAUACCCCGGUAGUCCUGGCCCUAAACGAUGAAUGCUUGGUGUGGCGGGUAUCGAUCCCUGCCGUGCCGAAGCUAACGCAUUAAGCA